UAAGACGAACCGAGCAAGCGUUAUUCGGAAUCACUGGGCUUAAAGAGUCCGUAGGCGGCGCGUUAGGUGGGGUGUGAAAUCCCUCGGCCCAACCGAGGAAUGGCGCUCCAAACCGGCGUGCUUGAGGAAGGUAGAGGUGAGCGGAACUGAUGGUGGAGCGGUGAAAUGCGUUGAUAUCAUCAGGAACACCGGAGGCGAAGGCGGCUCACUGGGCCUUUUCUGACGCUGAGGGACGAAAGCCAGGGUAGCGAACGGGAUUAGAUACCCCGGUAGUCCUGGCUGUAAACGAUGAGCACUAGGUCGAGGAACCCCACAGUUCCUUGGCCGUAGCGAAAGUGUUAAGUGCUCCGCCUGGGGAGUAUGGUCGCAAGGCUG
Molecule: ribosomal RNA, 375 nt
Filed under: uncultured bacterium
Lineage: Bacteria
Description: bacterial SSU rRNA
Rfam family: Bacterial small subunit ribosomal RNA
Source: RNAcentral